Molecule: small nucleolar RNA, 109 nt
Filed under: Arabidopsis thaliana (thale cress)
Lineage: Eukaryota; Viridiplantae; Streptophyta; Magnoliopsida; Brassicales; Brassicaceae
Description: Plant small nucleolar RNA R71
Rfam family: Plant small nucleolar RNA R71
About the family: R71 is a member of the C/D box family of snoRNAs containing the C (UGAUGA) and D (CUGA) box motifs.
Source: Rfam by way of RNAcentral
AAACCAUGAUGAGGACAAUCGUGUUCGUAGUCCUUAAAUCAUUUUCAUGCUUCAUAGAAGGAUUCGACCGGUCUUUGUUAGAAUCCUUGCAGCUUGUUCCUUAAAGACU